UACGUAGGGUGCAAGCGUUGUCCGGAAUUAUUGGGCGUAAAGAGCUCGUAGGCGGUCUGUCACGUCGGCUGUGAAAACCCGAGGCUCAACCUCGGGCCUGCAGUCGAUACGGGCAGGCUAGAGUGUGGUAGGGGAGAUCGGAAUUCCUGGUGUAGCGGUGAAAUGCGCAGAUAUCAGGAGGAACACCGGUGGCGAAGGCGGAUCUCUGGGCCAUUACUGACGCUGAGGAGCGAAAGCGUGGGGAGCGAACAGGA
This 254-nucleotide ribosomal RNA is filed under the name uncultured bacterium. RNAcentral's name for it is "partial 16S ribosomal RNA". It matches the Rfam family "Bacterial small subunit ribosomal RNA", at positions 524 to 777 of the family's 1533-position model. The record is from RNAcentral.